Non-coding RNA from Methanosarcina mazei, 85 nucleotides. Lineage: Archaea; Methanobacteriati; Methanobacteriota; Methanomicrobia; Methanosarcinales; Methanosarcinaceae. The record is from Rfam.
UAGGUAAUAGAACAUUCUUUGAGUUGCUGCAAAGAAUGUGGCCAUACUCUUGAGAAUGUUGAAGUUGAAGCCUAUUUUUAUUUGC